GGCACUGUAGCGCAAUGGAUAGCGCGUUGGACUUCUAAUACAAAAGUUGGGGGUUCGAAUCCCCCUGGGAUGGCCU
This is a non-coding RNA of Trichonephila clavata, 76 nucleotides long. NCBI's taxonomy places the organism in Eukaryota, Metazoa, Arthropoda, Arachnida, Araneae, Nephilidae. The record is from the annotation of a GenBank genome assembly.